This 233-nucleotide ribosomal RNA is filed under the name uncultured bacterium. Its description in RNAcentral is "partial 16S ribosomal RNA". It matches the Rfam family "Bacterial small subunit ribosomal RNA", at positions 976 to 1213 of the family's 1533-position model. The record is from RNAcentral.
UACCCUUGACAUGGCAGGAAUCCCGAAGAGAUUUGGGAGUGCUCGCAAGAGAACCUGCACACAGGUGCUGCAUGGCUGUCGUCAGCUCGUGUCGUGAGAUGUUGGGUUAAGUCCCGCAACGAGCGCAACCCUUGUCAUUAGUUGCUACGAAAGGGCACUCUAAUGAGACUGCCGGUGACAAACCGGAGGAAGGUGGGGAUGACGUCAAGUCCUCAUGGCCCUUAUGGGUAGGG